AUUGAACGCUGGCGGCAGGCCUAACACAUGCAAGUCGAACGGUAACAGGAAGCAGCUUGCUGCUUCGCUGACGAGUGGCGGACGGGUGAGUAAUGUCUGGGAAACUGCCUGAUGGAGGGGGAUAACUACUGGAAACGGUAGCUAAUACCGCAUAACGUCGCAAGACCAAAGGGGGGGACCUUAGGGCCUCUUGCCAUCGGAUGUGCCCAGAUGGGAUUAGCUAGUAGGUGGGGUAACGGCUCACCUAGGCGACGAUCCCUAGCUGGUCUGAGAGGAUGACCAGCCACACUGGAACUGAGACACGGUCCAGACUCCUACGGGAGGCAGCAGUGGGGAAUAUUGCACAAUGGGCGCAAGCCUGAUGCAGCCAUGCCGCGUGUAUGAAGAAGGCCUUCGGGUUGUAAAGUACUUUCAGCGGGGAGGAAGGGAGUAAAGUUAAUACCUUUGCUCAUUGACGUUACCCGCAGAAGAAGCACCGGCUAACUCCGUG
Molecule: ribosomal RNA, 490 nt
Filed under: uncultured bacterium
Lineage: Bacteria
Description: partial 16S ribosomal RNA
Rfam family: Bacterial small subunit ribosomal RNA
Source: RNAcentral